This 972-nucleotide ribosomal RNA is filed under the name bacterium enrichment culture clone HB_58. Its description in RNAcentral is "bacterial SSU rRNA". It matches the Rfam family "Bacterial small subunit ribosomal RNA", at positions 8 to 916 of the family's 1533-position model. The record is from RNAcentral.
AGAGUUUGAUCAUGGCUCAGGACGAACGCUGGCGGCGGGGAUUAGGCAUGCAAGUCGAACGGUAUAAACCUUUCGGGGUUUAGAGAGUGGCGAACGGGUGAGUAACACGUAGGUAAUCUACCCUCAAAACGGGGACAACCCAGGGAAACUUGGGCUAAUACCGGAUGCGUGCAAGCAAUGUUUUGGUUGUUAAUGCUAUUCACGGAAGUGAGUAGUGUUAAUGGUUGAGAGCAUUAUUUGCAUAAAAGGUGGCAUAUGCUGCCGUUUGAGGAUGAGCCUGCGUCCUAUUAGUUAGUUGGUGAGGUAAUGGCUUACCAAGGCGAUGAUAGGUAGGCGGCCUUAACGGGUGGUCGCCCACACUGGGAUUGAGAGACGGCCCAGACUCCUACGGGAGGCAGCAGUCGAGAAUAGUCUACAAUGGACGGAAGUCUGAUAGUGCGACGCCGCGUGAACGAAGAAUCCCUUCGGGGUGUAAAGUUCUUUUAUACGUGAGCAGUGCCCUUUAUAUGAAUAGUAUAGAGGGAGGGAUUUAAGCGUAUGAAUAAGCAACGGCUAACUCCGUGCCAGCAGCCGCGGUAACACGGGGGUUGCAAGCGUUGUCCGGAAUUACUAGGCGUAAAGUGCAGGUAGGCGGAUAGAUAAGUUUAAGGUUAAAGGCUACGGCUUACCCGUAGUAAGGCGUUAGAUACUGUUUAUCUGGAAUGCGGUUGAGGGAGACAGAAUUCCUGGUGUAGCGGUGGAAUGCGCAGAGAUCAGGAGGAAUACCGAAGGCGAAGGCAGUCUUCUAAGCCGAUAUUGACGCUAAACUGCGAAGGUGUGGGGAUCAAACAGGAUUAGAUACCCUGGUAGUCCACACAGUAAACGAUAAUCACUAGGUGUUGGGUUCGUAUAGGACUCGGUGCCGGAGCUAACGCGAUAAGUGAUUCGCCUGGGGAGUACGAUCGCAAGGUUGAAACUCAAAGGAAUUGACGG